Cotesia glomerata is the source of this 1578-nucleotide long non-coding RNA. RefSeq lists it as uncharacterized. The record is from RefSeq and is a predicted model, not a curated record. The transcript has 3 exons. NCBI's taxonomy places the organism in Eukaryota, Metazoa, Arthropoda, Insecta, Hymenoptera, Braconidae.
UAAAAACGUCGGCUAACUUUAUUAUCACACGUAAAAAUUGUAUUGUGGAUGUCGUACGUAUAUGCCUGUUAAUAUACACACGGGUGCGGUUCAUCGUGGAAUUCCAGAGUCGUGAUUAAACAAAGGCCAACGGCUCAUCGAGCCAUCUCGAAAGUUUAUAUUAAAUACGUGCCAUCAAGCAGAGGAUAAAUUCAUUACCAGGCAUCGUUCGUAUCAAUUGUCCUGGCAUUAAUUCCGCUAAAUAAUCCACAGUGUACUCGUACAAACAUUAUUAUGCGAGUAAUUCAAAUGAAAUAUGAAAUAUCACAUUUAUCAUUGUGAAAUAAAUUGAAAUUAUUUUAUUAUCAACUCUAAAAUAUAUACAUUUAAUAAUUAGUUUAAUCGUAAUUUUUCAGGUACAAAUACAUGCAUGAAUUUAAUGUAUGUAGAAGUUGGAGUAGUUAAUAGGAAAAUUGAAAACUUUUCUCAUUAGGUGCUUCAUGAAUUCGUUAGAGGAAUAAAGUAACGAAAAAUAUUUUAAUAAAAUGUUCUAUCACAAAAAAAGGAACAUACGAAUUUUUCUAUUAAAUUUAACAGUUACUUACCUUGGAAAAAAUAUUAUUUAAAUCUUCACAAUGAUUGUUACGACGAAAAGUUUAUUUAUUCGUGUACAUGAACAUAAAUUUGUCUGAGUCAGCGGUUAAUUCUUGGUCCCUCUAGAUUUUCUGUACAUGUUAUUUUACAUAGACUUUACUUGUGUUAGUAUAUAAAAUAGAGUAAGACAAAGCGAGAAAGAGAGAUAUGAAAUGAGGAAAAGAGAGAAAACUAGGCGUCCCGAUCGAUUCAGAGAUGUGGGUCAGGCAUACGCCCGAACCCCUCCAGGAUUUGCUGGCAUCCCGUUCUCUAGUUUUCCUCUUGCUCUUGCUCUUACUCUGGCUUACCCCUUACACUAUUCACACAAAUAACAUUAUAAUCCACGUACAAGAGAACUACUAUUCGUUCCUUGGAGUUCCUCGAUAAUUACCAGAUAUUCCUGCCAAUUUAAUUUCUGGUUUUUUUGUUAGCUUUCAGAUUAUUGAGUCUUGGAAUGUAGAAAAAUUUUUUCCAUGGUUGAAUCUUGAAUAUGUCAAUGGGUUGAUAAAUGUAAGGGGCCAAUUGAACGCUCAAGACACUCCCUAAGGACUUGGUAUAUUUCUUAAGAGAUAUUUUUAUUGCCAGACCAUAAAUCUACUACCCUUCAACUCGUUGGAAUACUCAAGCACUAGAGACCAGUACUUGAAUGCGAUGAUAGAAUUAAAAUAUAGCCAAAAAAAUUUGGCACUAGCUUAAAGUUUCUUGUUGUAUUGUACUUUAAAUUCAAAGUAGGAUUUCACUGGAUUGUAUAGAUGAUAAAAAAUCUAAAUGAUCAUUUUAUGCAACACCAAUAGAGUUUAUUUGGGAAAAAAAAAAUUCAUUUACAUUUAUUUAUUAUUAAUUAAAUGGAUAUAAAAAUUAUUUAAAUAUUAAUCUCCUUUUUUAACUAAGAAGUUCACUUGGAAACAACUGUGGACCUUUUCAUUUUGACCUAUCAACGAAAAUUCAAUCCAUAUAGAUAUAGAA